RNAcentral lists this transfer RNA (68 nucleotides) under Marmota monax (woodchuck). Its description in RNAcentral is "tRNA.Ala". Lineage: Eukaryota; Metazoa; Chordata; Mammalia; Rodentia; Sciuridae. The record is from RNAcentral.
GCUGUAGCUCAGUGGCAGAGCACUUGCUUAGCACAUAUGAGACACUGGGUUCGAUCCUUAGCACGGCA